This 496-nucleotide ribosomal RNA is filed under the name uncultured bacterium. RNAcentral's name for it is "bacterial SSU rRNA". It matches the Rfam family "Bacterial small subunit ribosomal RNA", at positions 28 to 521 of the family's 1533-position model. The record is from RNAcentral.
GUUGAACGCUGGCGGCAUGCCUUACACAUGCAAGUCGAACGGCAGCGGACCUUCGGGUGCCGGCGAGUGGCGAACGGGUGAGUAAUAUAUCGGAACGUACCUUUCAGUGGGGGAUAACGUAGCGAAAGUUACGCUAAUACCGCAUAUUCUGUGAGCAGGAAAGCAGGGGAUCGCAAGACCUUGCGCUGAUUGAGCGGCCGAUAUCAGAUUAGCUAGUUGGUGAGGUAAAGGCCCACCAAGGCGACGAUCUGUAGCGGGUCUGAGAGGAUGAUCCGCCACACUGGGACUGAGACACGGCCCAGACUCCUACGGGAGGCAGCAGUGGGGAAUUUUGGACAAUGGGCGCAAGCCUGAUCCAGCCAUGCCGCGUGCGGGACGAAGGCCUCGGUUGUAACGACUUUCAGCCGGAAAGAACUACGCCGUUUUAAUUACUAGACGGUGGAGUGACGGUACCGGAAGAAGAAGCACCGGCUAACUACGUGCCAGCAGCCGCGGU